UAAAAUGAGAGUUUGAUCCUGGCUCAGGACGAACGCUGGCGGCGUGCCUAAUACAUGCAAGUCGAACGAAACUUUCUUACACCGAAUGCUUGCAUUCAUCGUAAGAAGUUGAGUGGCGGACGGGUGAGUAACACGUGGGUAACCUGCCUAAAAGAAGGGGAUAACACUUGGAAACAGGUGCUAAUACCGUAUAUCUCUAAGGAUCGCAUGAUCCUUAGAUGAAAGA
Molecule: ribosomal RNA, 226 nt
Filed under: Ligilactobacillus salivarius
Lineage: Bacteria; Bacillati; Bacillota; Bacilli; Lactobacillales; Lactobacillaceae
Description: partial 16S ribosomal RNA
Rfam family: Bacterial small subunit ribosomal RNA
Source: RNAcentral